Molecule: ribosomal RNA, 253 nt
Filed under: uncultured bacterium
Lineage: Bacteria
Description: partial 16S ribosomal RNA
Rfam family: Bacterial small subunit ribosomal RNA
Source: RNAcentral
UACGGGGGGGGCAAGCGUUGUUCGGAAUUACUGGGCGUAAAGCGUGCGCAGGCGGUUAUGCAAGACAGAUGUGAAAUCCCCGGGCUCAACCUGGGAACUGCAUUUGUGACUGCAUGGCUAGAGUACGGUAGAGGGGGAUGGAAUUCCGCGUGUAGCAGUGAAAUGCGUAGAUAUGCGGAGGAACACCGAUGGCGAAGGCAAUCCCCUGGACCUGUACUGACGCUCAUGCACGAAAGCGUGGGGAGCAAACAGG